RNAcentral lists this ribosomal RNA (835 nucleotides) under uncultured bacterium. RNAcentral describes it as "bacterial SSU rRNA". It matches the Rfam family "Bacterial small subunit ribosomal RNA", at positions 28 to 852 of the family's 1533-position model. The record is from RNAcentral.
GUCGAACGCUUUGUCUUUAAUUGAUAUGAAGAGCUUGCUCUGAUUUGAUUCUAUCUGACAAAGAGUGGCGAACGGGUGAGUAACACGUGGGUAACCUACCUCUUAGCAGGGGAUAACAUUUGGAAACAAGUGCUAAUACCGUAUAACACUAACAACCGCAUGGUUGUUAGUUGAAAGAUGGUUCUGCUAUCACUAAGAGAUGGACCCGCGGUGCAUUAGCUAGUUGGUAAGGUAAUGGCUUACCAAGGCGAUGAUGCGUAGCCGAGUUGAGAGACUGAUCGGCCACAAUGGGACUGAGACACGGCCCAUACUCCUACGGGAGGCAGCAGUAGGGAAUCUUCCACAAUGGGCGCAAGCCUGAUGGAGCAACGCCGCGUGUGUGAUGAAGGGUUUCGGCUCGUAAAACACUGUUAUAAGAGAAGAACGACAUUGAGAGUAACUGUUCAGUGUGUGACGGUAUCUUAUCAGAAAGGAACGGCUAAAUACGUGCCAGCAGCCGCGGUAAUACGUAUGUUCCAAGCGUUAUCCGGAUUUAUUGGGCGUAAAGCGAGCGCAGACGGUUAUUUAAGUCUGAAGUGAAAGCCCUCAGCUCAACUGAGGAAGGGCUUUGGAAACUGGAUAACUUGAGUGCAGUAGAGGAAAGUGGAACUCCAUGUGUAGCGGUGAAAUGCGUAGAUAUAUGGAAGAACACCGGUGGCGAAAGCGGCUUUCUGGACUGUAACUGACGUUGAGGCUCGAAAGUGUGGGUAGCAAACAGGAUUAGAUACCCUGGUAGUCCACACCGUAAACGAUGAGUGCUAGAUGUUCGAGGGUUUCCGCCCUUGAGUGUCGCAGC